UACGUAGGGACCAAGCGUUGUUCGGAUUUACUGGGCGUAAAGGGCGCGUAGGUGGCUUAACAAGUCACUUGUGAAAUCUCCGGGCUUAACUCGGAACGGCCAAGUGAAACUGUCAAGCUAGAGUGCAGAAGGGGCAAUCGGAAUUCUUGGUGUAGCGGUGAAAUGCGUAGAUAUCAAGAGGAACACCUGAGGUGAAGACGGGUUGCUGGGCUGACACUGACGCUGAGGCGCGAAAGCCAGGGGAGCAAACGGG
Molecule: ribosomal RNA, 253 nt
Filed under: uncultured bacterium
Lineage: Bacteria
Description: partial 16S ribosomal RNA
Rfam family: Bacterial small subunit ribosomal RNA
Source: RNAcentral